RNAcentral lists this long non-coding RNA (5226 nucleotides) under Sus scrofa (pig). RNAcentral's name for it is "lncRNA (ENSSSCG00065073084.1)". Lineage: Eukaryota; Metazoa; Chordata; Mammalia; Artiodactyla; Suidae. The record is from RNAcentral.
AACACAAGUAUAUUUCACUUGUAGGUAUAUUUCUAAAUUACAGUGUUUGAUUUAAGAGAAAGUAAACUGGAAACUCAACAAGCUCAAGGAAUUUUAGAGCAUCUAGUCCUUUAUUUUAAUUUAUAUUGGAAAUACGUUUAUCUAGACUUAUAUAGGAUACUAGAACUAUAAGAAGUUUAGAAAUGGAAAUAAAAGGACUAUGUAAAGUUCCCAUUGUGGCUCAGUGGUAAAGAACCUAACUAGUAUCCGUGGGAAUGGAGGUUCAAUUCCUGGCCUUGCUCAGUGGGUUAAGGAUCCAGCAUUGCUGUGAGCUGUGGUGUAGGUUUCAGAUGCAGCUUGAAUCUGGCAUUGCUGUGGCUGUAGCGUAGGCUGGCAGCUGAAGCUCCAAUUCAACCCCUAGCCCAGCAACUUCCAUAUGCUGCAGAUAUGACCCUAAAAAGAAGGGGAAAAAAAAAAAAAGGAUUAUGUAUAAGCAAGAAACUGGGGAAACAGAAAUCUCAGAGAGCCAAAACUGAAAAAGAAAGUACAAACUGAAUUGGUUGUACAUAUAUUAUAACAGAAAGGGGGCCAGUUUAUACUUAUAAGGGGAAAUGUACAAUCAGAAACCAUAGUUCCUCUGAAUAUUGAUGUCAUGCGUAGUCACAGAUGGAACAUUCUAUUUAAUUAUACUCACCUCAUGAUCCAAAAGACACCCAAGAAAAACUGAUAGUGAUAAAAAUGACUAAAUGUCAGAUGGGACUAAUAUUUGAGAAAAAGUGUGAGACCAAUUAUCAGUAGCUUCAGGGAAAAAAUUAUUUAUGUAUAUAUACUCUUAGAAGCUUCAAGUUCCCCUCAAUGAGAUUAAACCCAAAAGCCUCUGGCCUUGUCUCAUAGUAAUGCCCCUUCCCCCCACCUUGACCAGCCUAGCUGCUCACUUCCUACUAGAGAAGGAAUGUCGCCCAUUCCUCACCCCACCUCUAUAUAACCUGUUCCCCAUGCAAAUGAGGUAUUCUGCCCAAAACCAAUCAGAAGAUCCAAUAUGCUCCAUAAGAGAUCAAACAAUACUCAGUCCUUAUACCCGUUGUAGGGGGCUGGGCCAGGAGAAACUGGGUCUCCAUUCAGGUCCGCUGGGGGAGGGGGGGGAGAUGCUGGAUAUAAGAACAAAUCGUAAAAUCAGUCAGCUGUCUUUUUAACCUGUGCGCAUGUGAAUUCUCUCUUUCUCUCUCUGAAAAUGGACUUUCACCUGAAUAAAUUUUUUAAAUCUCUGCCAUUCCAGUGCUUUGCUACAGCCAGACAGGGAUGGAGGAAACUGUGACCCUAUCAGUUUAAGUUAGAGGAAACACAUAAAGGCAGGUAAUGGGACAAAACUGAAGACAGGAUAAAUGAUCAAGUGCCCUCACUAUAAGAAUAAGGAAAUAAUGUGAAAUUGUCAGGAUAAGUAAAUAUGUGACUAUGUAAAACUCUUGAAAAUCUGGCUGGAAAAACUGUCCUCAUAAUUUCCUUUACUUUAUUACUUGGGCCUCUGACUGCUCAUACAAAAUAUAGCUGUUUCAUAACAAUUUAAAUAAAUAAAACCAUGAAAGCUAUAUUAUUGCAGAUUUUAUUAGAUUCAAGCAUACUACUUUACAUUUCAAAAUUUUUAAUGAGUUUUAUAUACAUAUUUACAUAUGUAAAUUAUUUCCCAUAACAGAAAGUAGAGGUAAAUUAUUAAAUAGAUCUUCAGAUUACACUGAAAUGAAUUCAAAAAACUGUUGUCUGAUAGUGAGUUAUAUGCUUAGUGGAAUGCUGUUUGGAGUAUUCAGAUUCAGAGGUUAUGUGAUUGUUAUAAAUGUUUUUAAAAAUAAAUCUCAAAUGGGAGUUCCCGUCGUGGCGCAGUGGUUAACGAAUCCGACUAGAAACCAUGAGGUUGCGGUUCGGUCCCUGCCCUUGCUCAGUGGAUUAACUAUCGGGCGUUGCUGUGAGCUGCGGUGUAGGUCACAGACGCGGCUCGGAUCCCGCGUUGCUGUGGCUCUGGCAUAGGCCAGUGGCUACAGCUCCGAUUGGACCCCUAGCCUGGGAACGUCCAUAUGCUGCAGGAGAGGCCCAAGAAAUAGCAAAAAGACAAAAAAAAUAAAUAAAUAAAUCUCAAAUGACAUCAAAAAAGCACAGUUUUAUUAUCUUUAUAACAUGUAAGAGAUUGGUUAUAAUGCACUUAUAGUCUUUACAUGUGGAAUUAUCGUAUUAGUAUGGAUUUACAUACAUGUUUAAAUUAUGCUGUUUAAAUACAACUGAUUUUAUUCCAAAGGUUACAUUUGAAAUAACAGAUACGUUAUGAAAUGACAAAGACCUACAUUUCUUUUCAGGUCUUUUUUCUUAAUUAUCUUCAUUUUUAGAUGGUUAGACUACUGUAACAUGCAGGUAGUAUGGAACAAUGUAUUCUAUCAAAAAAUAUAUGACCGGAGUUCCUGUUGUGGACCAGUGGGUUAAGAACAUGACUAGUAUCCAUGAGUAUGCGGGUUUGAUCCCUGGCCUUGCUCAGUGGGUUAGGAUCCAGCAUUGCCACAAGCUGUGGCAUAUGUAGCAGAUGUAGCUUGCAUUGCUGUAGCUCUGGUGUAGGCUGGCAGCUGCAGCUCCGAUUGGACCCCUGGCCUGGGAACUUCCAUAUGCUGCAAGCGCAGCCCUAAAAAAAGGGACUAAAACAAACAAUUCAUUUUCCAAUAUACUUAGUUGUCCUAAAGUUCACUGGACAAAUGAUCUUUUUUUAAAUGAGUUUUCUUAUGUAACACUGUAGUCUAAAUAGAUUGAGCAGUAGCUUAGGGAUAUAUUCUUUCCACUAGGAAACACUCACUGAGAAUGAGGGCAAAGAACACAAGUGUGGGAAUGGUUUUACUCUUCAUGUACAAAAGGAAGAGUAAAUAAAAUAUGCUUGAGCUCAACGUAAUAUACUAGUUUUAUAAUUUUGUGCAUCGUGUGAAAAAUUCUCUUGCUGUUAAAUCUUAAUACUUUAAUAUUAUCCUUGAAUUCAUUCAGUAUCCUAUCUUUCAGUACCCAAACAGAAACUGAGUUGGUUAUUAAUUCUCUGUAAUUACAGACAAAUUUUAUAGAAUGGUCAUUAUUUACAUUGCCUUGCAUUCUCAAAUAAAUGUGAAUUUAUUACAUUAUUGUAACAUUAUAAUUCACUACUAAAUGCAAAUAUAUCUGUACAUUAAAAAUAUAAUUCUACAGCACUGCAAUCUAAAGAUAGGAUCAUCAAUUUAUUUUCUACUCAAAACAGGAAAUUUCAUUUUUCAUUAAAUCCCCAUCAAAGUGAAUGAAGGGUAUUAGUAAAAUCCAAUAGUUAAAAUCCCUUGAGUGUGUUUGGUAAUUUAGUUAAGUACUGUUAUGUAGAUAAACUAUAAAUUAUACAAAGAGGAAAAAAAAGCUGUGUGUAUGAUGUAUGGUAGGAUGGGAAUAUUGAAGAAUGUCAUGGGCACAAAUUAAGAGCCAGUGAACCAAGACAUAUACAGUAUUAUGUGGUCUGUCUAUGGACUAGUUCACACUAUCAAAGGUAUAAAUGAAGAAUAAAAAUCAUUCCUCUCUCACUAGGGAAGCCAAGGCCUUUUUUCCUCCUUUUUUUCUUUUGUUUUAUUAUUAUUAUUGUUAUUAUUUUUGGCUAUGCCAGAAUAUGGAAGUUCCUGGGUCAGGGACUGAACUCAUGCCACAGCAGUGACCCAAGACACAACAGUGAGAACCCCCAAUACUUAAACCAACUGACCCAUCAGGAAAUUCUCUUUUUUAUUUUUAUUUACGUAUUUAUUUAUUCUUUUUAUACCCUUACCUGCAGCAUAUGGAAGUUUCUGGGCUAGGGGUCAAAAUGGAGCUGCAGCUAUAGGCCUGCGCCACGGUAACACUGGAUCCAAGCCUCAUCUGUGACCUCUAUCACAGCUUGCAGGCUAUGCUGGAUCCUUCACCCACUGAGCAAGGCCAGGAAUCGAACCCACAUCCUCACCAAGCUAUGUUGGGUUCUUAACCCACUGAGCCACACUGGGAACUCCAUCUCUUUUAUUUUUUAAGGAUAGCAGUCAAAUUAUACUUCAAUUAUCUCAUAAUUUAUGUCUAGAAUAAUAAGGACACGGGCUUACAAAGCAUUGAAAAGCUGAUUAUUCAGUUAACAAAUUCAACAAUUUUCCUAGGAUCAUUAAUGAAUGGUCACAGGGUAUUAGAUACUACUAUAUAUUUCUUUUUGCCAGAGGGAAGGUGUGCAAUCUUACCAUUAAAAUAUAGAAGCUGGAAUACCACUAGCCAGAGUCACUGAAUCAAAUCAAUAACACAUGAAAUCAAACAUCCAAUCAAUGAAGGUAAGAAUUUAAGUAUCAGCUGUAUUCCAGGCACUAUCAUAUAUGCAGGGGAAAACAAACAGACACAAUAUAUGUCUAGAGUUUGUCAAUAUUCUUAGUUUAGAAGGGACACAGGAGUUCCUCUGUGGCUCAACAGGUUAAGGGUCUGGCAUUGUCACUGCUAUGCCUUGGAUUGCUGCUGUGGUGCAGGUUCCAUAAGCCAGGCUCCACAAGCCAUAGGCCUGGCCCAAAAGAAAACAGGAGAAGAAAAGACACACAAACCUGUGCACUGCUACAUAACUACCAUUACAGUUAUAGAGAAAAUGCACUGUGGAACCAAAAAGGAAAAAGCUACUACAUUAUUUCUGUCUGGUGAACUCCAGAAAUAUUUCACCUAUGAACAUGCAUUAAAAAUAUGAGUUUACUAGUGGUCUGGGUACCAAGCUAUGCGGACCGCGUCUCAGCGUCUUAGCGUCUGGGUUCUUUCUACCUGGCUGAGGCUCUCCAGUGGGAAAUAGGAGUCAGAGAAUAAUGUUUAAAAAUAUAUAUAUAUAUGAGUUUACCAGAGAGAGGGAAUAUAUUUGGGAGAGAGGGAAUAUAUUUGGAAGAGAGGGAAUAUAUUUGGUCAUUCCACUCAGAGAGGAAAAUGUGAAAUGAUGGAGUUGUGAGAAGUUCCUAUACACAUCCUUUCACAUAAGCAUUCAACUGCUUUUUGUUUUGUUUUGUUUUUUUUAAUAACUCCCUUUCUGAAAAGCACUCAGCUGUCAAAGGGGGAAACACUGAAAUAUAGAUGCUCAACCUUCUUUCCUGAUGGCAACAGUCUGGCAGGAAGGACAGACAUUGGAUAAUAGUAACGGUAAUUUUUAAAGGGAAAAUGGAGUAUAGAAGAGGCUUUAAAAAGUAGGAUUUUGGUCAAUGGAAAGGGAAUUUGGUGAGGAAGAGAGGUGUGUGC